RNAcentral lists this ribosomal RNA (253 nucleotides) under uncultured bacterium. Its description in RNAcentral is "partial 16S ribosomal RNA". It matches the Rfam family "Bacterial small subunit ribosomal RNA", at positions 524 to 776 of the family's 1533-position model. The record is from RNAcentral.
UACGUAGGGUGCAGGCGUUGUUCGGAAUUACUGGGCGUAAAGGGCUCGUAGGUGGCCAACUAAGUCAGACGUGAAAUCCCUCAGCUUAACUGGGGAACUGCGUCUGAUACUGGAUGGCUUGAGUUUGGGAGAGGGAUGCGGAAUUCCAGGUGUAGCGGUGAAAUGCGUAGAUAUCGGGAGGAACUCCGGUGGCGAAGGCGGCGUGCUGGACCCUUUCUGACGCUGAGGCGCGAAGGCCAGGGGAGCAAACGGG